RNAcentral lists this long non-coding RNA (22196 nucleotides) under Gossypium barbadense (sea-island cotton). Its description in RNAcentral is "long non-coding RNA (GBAR_LNC020507)". The record is from RNAcentral. Lineage: Eukaryota; Viridiplantae; Streptophyta; Magnoliopsida; Malvales; Malvaceae.
GGCUCCUUAGGUUCCUCACCUAGAAUCACACUGCCUACAUUUAGCUUCUCGGCAUCUGUCGGUGACUUCUCAUUUGGCUCUAUAUAUACAGGCUCGGCUGAUUCUUGUUUCGCCGGUUUCGACGAUUCUUCUGUCACUGACUCCAUUGGUGCGCAUUUUGUUGGCUCUGAUUCUGCGUUAUUAUCAUUCUUAGCUAACAUUCCCAUUUCCUCCUGCAAACAAAUAAAAUUAAUUGAAUAAACAGAUACAUCAUAUGAACCCCCCCCCCCCCAAAAAAAAAAAACAUACCUCUUUGAACAAGUUACUAAGAGAUCGUCGCGUGUUGCCAUGAUGAUUGAGGUCAGGUUCGACCUUGUUUUCAGGUUCUGUAGGUUCAGGAACAGAUUCUUUGCCCCACUUAGAAGACGGUAUGGGAAUCGGCUCCUCGGCUUCCUGGCCCUUCAAAACCUUUGGCUUUGCAGCACAACAUCCCAUGUUAAUAAAUUUUAUCUCAGCUUUCAAAAACUAGAGAACCAACCUAUUCUAAAAACCCUCUCUUUUUUCUUUAAUAUUUCGCUUGGCCUCUUCUUUCUGGGUGAGUAAGACAAUGAGAAGAUUUAGGAGAUUUAUGAGGAAAGUGAAAAAUGAAUUUUAUUUAUGGUUCAUUGGCUUCCGACAAUUGUUCUGCGGUAAACAAACAUUGAAAACAGGGACACUGUUUUAUUAUGUUCCCAGGAAAUUUACGUUUUAAAUACUAUGCUAACAUAUUUUUAUGCUAAUAUUCUUUUAUCCAGUUUAUUUCCAAUUAAACUCCAAUAUGAACUAAUAAUUUCAUUUAAAAAAAUGAUAUUUAUUAGGUAUGGUGGUUUAUUUAGUGUUUCUAUUUUUUAAAGAUAUUUUAGUCUUUUAUUUAAUUUUUUGUUUUUUUUAGUUAUUAAAUUUAUGUUUUUUUGUCAAAUCACUUCAAAAUAAUUGGAAAAGUUAAUAUUUUUAAACUUUGUUGAUGUGGCACGAGUAUGCCAUGUCACCAUUUAAUUCAUUUUUUUAAAAAAAAAUAUUUUUUAAAAUCAUUAAAAUUAUUUUAAAAUAUAAAAAAUAUUUAUAAAAUUUUAAAAAUUAAUUAAAUAUUGACAUGUCAUCCACGUACUAAUUCUCAUGUAUAACACAUCGGCAAAAUUAACAAACGUUAGCUUUUUCAUACAUGUUGAGAUGAUUUGACAAAAAAUACAAGUUUAAAGACUAAAAGAGGUAAAAAAUAAAAUAGAUGGGUGAAAUUACCUUUUUGUAAAGUUAGAGAGCCAAAAAAGUGAUUAUGCCUAUUUAUUAACAGAUAAAAGUUAAAUUAAGUUAUUAAUCUUUAUGUCAUGUGUAAGUUCUAGAUUUAAUCUAUGUACUUUUUUAAUUUUCAAAUAAAAGUUUUGAUCCAAAGAGUAGUCAUUAAAUUUGUUAAGUUAAAUUUAAUAUAUUGUCAUAUAAGCAGUGUUAUGCUAGCUUAUUAUUUUUACAUAAUACUAAAAAAUUUGUUUUAUUUUAAUUUAUAAGUUUAAUAGCUAUCUUUUGAAUCAAUCAAGACAGAAUUAAAAAAAAACAUAAGAACUCAAUAUGAUCAAAUUAAAAAAAUUGACUAAAUUUACAACUUAGACUAAUAACAAUAUUUGACUUAAUAAAUAUAAUUGCUACCAUUUGAGUCAGGAUUAAAAUCGAUGAAAUUAGAAUAUAAAGACUAAAUUUGUAAUUUUCAUAUAGUAUAGGGUUUGAUAGCAGAAUUUGACCAUAUUUUUUAAGUUAUAUAUCUUAACACGAACAUACAGCAUGAGUACGUACCGUAAAAGAAAGUAAAGUUGCCUUAAUUGGCACGAUAUUUCCUUGCCUAAAUGCAAAAGAUAUGGCACAUUGGCAAUGGGGAAACCAAGCACGUGUGGAUGGAUCGUUGGAUCCAUAGUGUGAUGCCUAAAGAGUUGCUUCACUCAAAUCUUACAUUAUUUCUAUGAGAUUUAGUGUGAGUUUGGAUGGGCGGUGCGUUUACCUGCGGUUAGUGUAAAAACAGCGGUGACGGUGAGAUUAGAUACUGUAGCGAUACUGUAGCGUGAGACAAAAAGUAAGCUAAACGCACCGCACCGCACUCAAUCGCCCAUCCAAACCCACCCUUAAUAGACACUAGAGACUUUUGGUCAUGCUGGGAUGACAAUAGAACAAAACAGGUAAUUUUUUACUUGUCUCAAUUUUAACGUGAUUUUUGUACUUCUUGCCCCGCCUCAAAAUUAUUUUAUUAAGAAAUUUCACUUUAACCCCAACUUCAACCUUGAAAUAGCUUUCCAAUUUCCUGAACUAGCCCAAAAUCUUAAAUAUUAUUUUUUAUAAAAUUAAACCAAAUAUAUAAUAUAAAAUUAGUUAUAAUCUACAUAAAUACAUAUCAAGACAAGAGGUGCCAUAUUUGACUUCAACUUAAUCUUGAUAUUUUAAAUAUUGAUUUAUUAAUACAUUAGUUUUUACAAAAUUAAACUAAAUAUAUAUAUUAAAACACAUUUUAAAAGGGUAAACUAUAAAAAUAGUCACUUAUGUUUGAAAUGUUAAGUUUUAGUCACUUACAUUAUUGUUUUGUUAUGAAGUAGUCACUCUACCGUUAAACUCCGUUACCUCCCUAACGACAGUCCUACGUGGCAAUUCAAAAUGGAUUUUAAAUGCCAACUUAGAUGCUAAAUUAUUGGGAUGAAAAUAGGUUUUAAAUUAAAUAAAUUUAAUUUGAACGGUCACGUAAGACAUCCAAAUUGGCAUUUAAAACCCAUUUUGACUGCCACGUAGGACCACCGUUAAGGAGGUAACAGAGCUAAAUGGUAGAUUGACCAUUUCGUAACAAAACGAUAACGUAAGUGACUAAAACGUAACAUUUCAAACAUAAGUGACUAAAAUGUAAUAUGGGUCAAACAAAAGUGACUAUUUUUUAUAAUUUACCCAUUUUAAAAUUAUCAAAUUACAAUAAAAUAUAUAAUAAUAUUUAUAAAAUUAGCUAAAAGGUAAAAAAAACUUAUAAAAAAUUAAAAAAUUAAUUAAGUGUUGAUUGUUAAUUUACACUCAAUUAAACUCUUAUUGACCAUAAAUUAAUUAAGUUAACGUUAAUUGUUAAAUUUAGCUGAGGUGAUAAAAGAUAACAUAUGGCAAUGACAAGCGAUGUGGAAUAGAUGCUAGCACAACAUAUUAUCAUGUCAACAAAUAUAAAAAAAUUAUAAAAAAAACUAUAAAAGAAGUAUAAACGCUUUACAAACUAAAUUAAAUAAAUAUAUAAAUAAUCUAAAUAAUUUUCAGUACCAAAGAUUGUAACCUACUAAUGGAAGUGAUCAAUAACCCAGGAAAAGAAAUCGAUAAAAUCUAUGACGAGGCUUCUACGGUGACCCAACUCUAAGAUUCAAACUAGAGAGAUAGGAAAGAAAUAAGGAAAAUGUUUUUUUUUUUGAAAAAAUAACUAGAUUCAUAAAAUGUUAAAAAAGUCAAGUUCGAUACAUAAUACAACUUGGUUUAUCAACUAAUAAACAUCAUUCGAAAGAGAAUUAGAUUAGAAAUGACUUCCUAACUGGAUUUGUCCAUCGACGCAUUUGUUCCGUUUCCAAAAAACAUGGAGCAAAGGUUUAAUAAUAAAAAAUUAUUAGAGCAUUCAAAGGGGGGAGAAUAAGAUUAGUAGAGUUAUUAUUAGCCAUACGAUAAUAAUGGUCGUGACAUCAACUUCAAUCUCCAGGUCGUUAAUGUUCAAUGAUCUUACUAGUUGGAGCUGCCCACAAUUCAGCUUGAACACUACUAGCACAAGAGAUAUGUUUAUAGAAGCUAAUCACCCAAUUACCUCGAUGGUUACGAAUGAGUGCACCUGAUCUCACAUUCCUUAGGUUUCCAAGAGCUUAACCAUCAGUAUUAAGUUUGAACAGGUCCUUAUCAGACAGUUUCUAAUAAAUUAAAAUAAAGGAAGGAAGAGAAAUACAUUAUAUCAUAAAAGAUGAGACAAUGAAUUCCCCUAUUUCAUAUAAAAGAAAAAUAGAAGGGGAAGUAGCAUUUUCUUUACCUAAAUAUUAUAAAAUAUAAAUUAUUUAUAUGUGUUUAAAAUUAUUUAUUGCGGUUAGAAUUAUUUACUUAAAUAAUGCUAUAAAAAUAUUUUUAUUAAUAUAUUAUUGACCUGUUUUUUUAAUAGGUAAACUAUUUUAAUAGUUACUAAAUUAUAAAUAAAAUUUCAUUGAUGACUUAAUUAAAAAAAGUAUAAUUUAGUUAUUAUAAUUUUCGAAAUUAAAUUUUUAUCAGUUAAUUAUAUUUUUUAAUUAGUAUAAUAAUAAUUUUAGUAUUCAAUUUUUAUAAUUUCCGCCGAUUUCCUAAAAAAAUACCACAGUAUCCGAAUCGAACGGUCGAGUUGGGGGAAUUUCGCCGUCCCUAGUUGUUUCUUGUUAGGGACCAAAGACCUAGCUUUAGCUCUCUCCAAAGCCCACCAAAAAGAAAAAAAGAAAACAAUUCUAAAGUAACCACUUAGGAACCUUCACUCUUCAGAGCAUCCAUUGUUAUCCCAAGUAGCUUUAGUACUCUACCACCGAAAUCCAACCCUUAAAACAAUACCAUUUGCAGAGUGGAAAUGGGCAUCUACGCCAUGGAUUUUGCACUCAAAUUCAACCAGUCUAUUUUCUCUACUCCAUACCCACCUAAACCUUCACCCAAAUGUAGAUUUCUAACCGCAAGAUGCUCCCUCCCUCUCUCCUCUGACGGUGCCGCCACUGGUAAACUUUUUUUCUUUUUCACUCUUUGCUUCUAAAUUCUCUCUCUCUCUCUCUCUCUCUCUCUCUCUCUCUCUCUCUCUCUCUCUUAUAAAUAAAUAAAUAAAAGUUGAAAAAUCUUUGGGUAUCGGGUGGUUUCAGGGUUGGCGGAGAGGCCAUGGAAGGUAGCGGAUGCUAGGCUGCUUCUUGAAGAUGGUUCUAUUUGGAGGGCUAAAUCUUUUGGUGCCUCUGGUACCCGAGUUGGCGAAGUGGUUUUCAACACUUCUUUAACAGGGUAACAUUAUAUAUAUAGUAUUUUGAAUUUCAAUUUCUCUUCAUACCUUUUAACUAAAUUAAAGAAUUUUGCACUUGUUCUAAUCUUGUGUAUGAACAAUGGAGUGCCGAAAUAAGGUGAGACUAGAUAAAUUAAGGUUUUGUUAAAAAAAUUAACUUUAAACAAUGUUCAGUAAGAUUAUAUAGUGUUUGGACAAUAAUGGUUGAAAUUACAUGUUGCUUCUUUUACUUUAUUGUUAUUUUUAAAGGGUGUUUAGGGCUGUCAUUCCCUUUACAGUGUAGUUGCUUAUCUUUUUAUCUGUUAUGCCUUUGUUUUGAAUCUCGCCACGGUGUAAAUUACGUGGACUUAGGUGCAUAGUUUAAUGCAUGGCCAAAUUAAUUGUUGUUCAGGUAUCAGGAAAUUCUAACAGAUCCUAGUUAUGCUGGUCAGUUUGUCUGAUGACCAAUCCCCAUAUUGGCAAUACCGGAGUAAAUUUUGGUAAGUAAAUUUCACUUGCCGAAUCAUUGCAUUUCUGAAUUGUUGAAAACUUUAUGUUUUCUGAUGUUGAUGCAUACCACAUCAGAUGAUGAUGAAUCGAGGCAGUGCUUUCUUGCUGGUUUGGUGAUCAGAAGUCUAAGUAUUACGUAAUUUAAUUUCUUAGAUAUACCCUUUUUACUUGUUUGGCAUGAAAGGUUUGCUUAUUUGAGUUAUCAAAUUUUAAUUAAAUGUUUUGCAGAACUUCCAAUUGGAGAUGUGUGGAAACGCUUGGUGAUUAUUUAGCAGAAAGAAAUGUUAUGGGAAUUUGUAAGUCAUAAUACAUGUAACUCGGUGUCUAGUUAAGAAUCUGCUCCGACCUAUUUUCAUCUUUUGAUGCCUUCCUAAAAUGGCAGAUGAUGUUGACACACGUGCAAUCACCUGCAGAUUGAGGCAAGAUGGAAGUCUUAUUGGGGUUUUGAGCACUGAACAAUCUAGAAGUGAUGAUGAACUUUUGGAAAUGUCACGUUCAUGGGACAUUGUAGGUAAGAUUGAGAUACCCCUAUCUUAUUUGAAAGCUAUGAGCAGUUUUAUAUGGAUAAAAUCAGUUGUAUCUAUAUUAUUCUCGUAUUUAUUUCACAGGUAUUGAUUUAAUAAGUGGUGUUACCUGUAAUGCCCCGUACGAGUGGGUUGAUGAAACAAAAUCAGAAUGGGACUUCAACUCCGAUGGAAGAGAUAGAGAUACCUAUAGAGUUAGUAAUACUUUUUAAAGUUAAUGUUGGAGAAUUUAGAUCCUUGUUUUGUGUCUGCUCUUACACUUCUCGGUUUCCUUUUGAAUUGAAGGUUAUUGCCUAUGAUUUUGGGAUCAAACAUAAUAUACUUCGACGCUUAGCAUCUUAUGGCUGUAAAAUCACUGUUGUCCCAUCCACAUGGCCAGCAGCCGAAACCCUUAAGCUGAAGCCAGACGGAGUUCUUUUCAGCAAUGGUCCAGGAGAUCCAUCUGCAGUUCCUUACGCCGUUGAGACAGUCAAGGAAAUUUUAGGGAAAGUUCCUGUUUUCGGAAUUUGCAUGGGUCAUCAGUUACUCGGGCAGGCUUUGGGUGGUAAAACCUUUAAGAUGAAGUUUGGCCACCACGGUGGAAAUCAUCCUGUUCGUAAUCUUCGGAAUCGCCGUGUUGAGAUUAGCGCUCAGGUGUGUUUAAGUAGCCAAAGUGUUUCCAUUGAAUAAUUAGUUCAUAGAGGCAUCCCUUUUAUGCAAUUCCAAGCAUUGUGUUUCUGCGUGGGUUUAUAUUUUACUUUGAGAUGAACCAACCCCAACUAAAACUGCACGCACACACAAGUAAUAAAAUCAAAAGUUUUACAUAUUUGCCUAGUAUUGCACAUAUUAUUCUUAUAUCUAUUGACAAUGUUUUAGGUAUUUAAAUGUUUGUAUGUAUGUCCACUAACUUAUUCAGUUCAGUAUGUGUUUAAAGUCGUAACAUCUCUUUCGGUUUGUGUUUUUGACAUCGGAGUUCAUGAUUUGGCAGAACCACAACUAUGCAGUCGAUCCAGCCUCACUCCCUGAGGGUGUAGAAGUGACUCAUGUUAAUCUCAAUGAUGGAAGCUGUGCUGGUCUAGCUUAUCCUGCUUUAAGUAUUAUGUCUCUUCAAUACCAUCCUGAAGCAUCCCCAGGACCUCAUGAUUCAGAUUGCGGUAAGAAUUUCUUUACUACACCUAAUUUCGACAAUUUGAUUUAGUCUUUCGCCUUUUAACCAAGAUCGCAAUUUUCUAUUUCGUUAAAGAAAGGUCUCUUUGCUCAAGCCAAGUUAGUUUCUUUGUACAGCUUUUAGAGAAUUCAUAGAGCUUAUGGAGUCAACAAAACAAGCUGCUUGAAGGAACCUGUAACGUCAGGUUGUUUCAAUUUUCAGGUAUUAGUAUCGUAGUAAAUGUGCUUUCUUCUCAGCUGUGGUUCCUUUGGUAUGUGCUUUAGCUGGCUAUGGAUCUUGUUUUAGUUUUAGCAUUAUUAUAUUGUCCUAAAAUUGAGGCAGUAUUUUCGUUUUCUAAAAUAAACCAUUCCCCUUCCGUUUUAAUUUUGGGGGAGUAGAAAUCCUGGCUUUACCAAAGCCGAAAAGGUAGUCUGGUCUGGUCUGGUCGAAUGACAAGUAGGGUGCCGCUGUCCUACUAAGCUGUAAGGUAUAUUUCACUUGGGUCGGUUGGGUUUUAUUAUCCGUAAUAAAAUCUGUUUAUUAAAAAUAUAACUGUAUUAACAUCCAAAUCUUAGUUAAAUGACAGUAUUUGUCAGGUAUUUAACACUAAACGUUGCAGCUCAUUUUCUUAAAUAAAAUUUUAAACAGUAUUUCGAGUUUGAAAUCAAAUACCGUAUCCAUAACAAGAAAGUAAAUUCAAAAGAAUGGUUUUGAAUUUUAUUAGUAAAAUUAAAGUGGACUUAGAGAAUUUGAGGUUACUAUAGCUGUGAACCUGAUGAAAUUAACGAAGAUAGUAAUUAUAACACUCCAUUCGAAAAUGAUAUUCGAUUCACUGCUAUCCUUUCCACACAAAAACGGUUGAAAUAUACCUGAUGAAUUCAAAGUAACAAAAAGGAUUCACAAUAUGAUUUUAUUAAAUUUAAUUUUCCCAGAAGUUUGACCGCGCAAACUGGCACUAACUUUUUUUUAAAAAAAUCUCGUACAAUAAUAGCUAUUAACAUUAAUGUUCUCAAAACCCUUGAAUAUUAAAUAAAUAAAAGAAGCACCACAAUCCAGUCUCCAGCUCCAAACAUCCAUUUAAGCAGCAUGGUUCAAAGAUGGAUUGUAAGGAAGGAAUUAAGCACCAAUUGUCCGUCCACCGCCGUCUCCUUAGGGCCCAUCAUCUUAAUGGUGGUGAUACGGUGAAAGGCUAAAAUAAUAAUACGUCAAUAUCAAGUACACCGUCCUACAAUGAUCGCUAACUUCCCCCACAUAAACCAGACUUUUGAGUUCACUUGACACGGCACACCAAAAAAAGCCAACUAAAUGCAAAAUGUAGAUCACCAUCAAAAGCAAUUACAAAACUUAGAAGCACUUCCUGUGGACAAUGGAUGGACCGGACUCAUCAUACUCACCCUUGGAAAUCCACAUCUGUAAAGCAAGAUCGUCAGUGUCGGACAACCAUCACACAAAAGAAGUAGAGCCAAAUAUAAAAAGAAAUAUUUACCUGCUGGAAGGUGCUGAGUGAUGCCAAGAUAGAUCCUCCAAUCCAGACACUGUACUUUCUCUCUGGUGGCGCAACGACCUUAAUCUUCAUGCUGCUUGGAGCAAGAGCAGUGAUCUCCUUGCUCAUGCGGUCCGCAAUACCAGGGAACAUAGUUGAACCCCCACUGAGCACAAUGUUACCAUAGAGAUCCUUCCUGAUAUCCACAUCACACUUCAUGAUAGAGUUGUAGGUAGUUUCAUGGAUUCCAGCAGCUUCCAUCCCAAUGAAAGAUGGCUGGAAGAGGACUUCCGGGCAACGGAAUCUCUCAGCUCCAAUAGUAAUGACUUGUCCGUCAGGCAACUCAUAGUUCUUCUCAACAGAUGAGCUGCUCUUGGCAGUCUCCAGUUCCUGCUCAUAGUCCAGGGCAACAUAAGCAAGCUUCUCUUUCAUGUCACGGACAAUUUCCCGUUCAGCAGUGGUGGUGAACAUGUAACCUCUCUCGGUAAGAAUCUUCAUCAAGGCAUCGGUUAGAUCACGACCUGCAAGGUCAAGACGGAGGAUGGCAUGUGGAAGGGCAUAUCCUUCAUAGAUUGGCACGGUGUGAGAAACACCAUCACCGGAAUCCAGCACAAUACCUGUUCCAAUAGAGAGAUAAUCCAGUGUCAGCAUGAUUCCAAAAUAUCAUUAAAAUGAGAAAAGCUCAUAGAACUUUCAAGUCUAACAAACCUGUUGUACGACCACUGGCAUACAAAGAGAGGACGGCCUGGAUGGCAACAUACAUAGCAGGUACAUUGAAGGUCUCAAACAUGAUCUGAGUCAUCUUUUCUCUAUUGGCCUUGGGGUUGAGAGGUGCUUCCGUGAGAAGCACAGGGUGCUCCUCAGGAGCAACACGGAGUUCGUUGUAGAAUGUAUGAUGCCAGAUCUUUUCCAUAUCAUCCCAGUUGCUCACAAUACCAUGCUCAAUAGGAUAUUUCAAAGUAAGGAUACCUCUUUUAGAUUGUGCUUCAUCUCCUACAUAGGCAUCCUUCUGACCCAUCCCAACCAUAACACCAGUGUGCCGGGGACGACCAACGAUACUGGGAAAAACUGCCCUUGGAGCAUCAUCACCAGCAAAACCGGCCUACAUUACAGACAAAAUUAGCUUAACCAUAUGAUACUUCUCAUAAAGAAAUAAACAAUAACCAAGAUUAUAACUCAGGUCUAGAAGAGUUCAUAGUCCGGCCAGGUUUGUGUAUAAUAUCAUCAUAAUUCUUAUGUCCCCAAGCUCGGCUUAGUCCAUAAUAUGAUCUCAUAUUUUACCCAAAUCUACCAAUAGUAUUUUCUAUUUCUUAAAAUAUAUUUUUCAUUUAAUAUUUAGUAUUUUUUUGGGUAUUCUUCAUGUCCAUGUUUAUGGUCCAUGUUCAUGGAUUAUAGCUACCUUUCCCAACAAUUUCGUCUCCAAGGUCUAAAUCUAUGUCUCCUCUUAGGAAUGCAAUGUGUCUUACAAUUGAUUAAGAAAAUUAAUGUUUAAAUUAUAGUAUUAUAUAUGUAUCUAUUAUAUCUAUAAAUUAUAUAAUGUAAACGAGCUGAGCUGCGUUCAGGCUUUGAAUGUAGAAGCCUGAGCAAAGCCCACUUAAACAGAUUUUAUCCUUGUCCAAGUCUAAAAGCUAGGUGUCAGGUUUGCUUUGGUCUAAAAAAUAACUAACCUUCACCAUUCCAGUUCCAUUAUCACAGACGAGGGGUUGAAUAUCCUCACCGUCGGCCAUCUUUUACAAUACUGCAAACAGGAAUCUAGGUAGUGAGUACAGCAAAAUCACUUGUCAACGCGAAUUCUGUGCCCUUCAACUAAUCUAAACAAGCUAAACUAAAGACAUUUGACAAAUCAAUUUCUAGUUUCUCUAAAUGGAAAAAAAAUAAAGUAAAAGCAGAAACACUUAGUCAACAUUAAUUUCUUCAAAUACAGAAAAUAGAACAGUCCAAUAUCCUAGCUGUUUAUGAAACAGCGCAAACAACUAUAGUAGUUAAAAUCGUAGGCAACAUUCAUUUGAGAGAAUCUCAUCAAGCUACCGUAAAAUUCGAUGAACAACAAAUGGAAUCAAUUAGAAAUAAUGAUCGAGAUUAGAGCUUUUCUUAAAGAUAAAAGAAACCUUUGCAAAGUAUUGAAUCUACACAGUGAAAGCAUUAAUCAGGACAAGUUGGUCGAAGAUCAAGUUCAAAAUAAAGAGAAAAAAUAAAUUGUCGUUAGAUCUAUAAAGAAUAGCAAAUGUAAUGAAGCGGAUCAAGCUAAGUAAGGAUCCAGUUGCAAAAGGAGCAGAUCAAGUUAAAUCUAACACUCUAGAAACCUCUCGAACUGUAGAUCUUAGUUGCAUCAUAGCCGAAACAUCAAACUCAAGCAUCAAAUACACAGAUCGGCAGAUUUUGAAGAAAAUUUAAAGCAAAGUAAAAGGUUUACCUGAGUAAAUGAAAGAACGAAGAGGAGCUUCAGAGUAAGAGAGAGAGAGAGAGGGAAGAAGAAGAAGAAGAAGAAGAACCAAAAACGACGACGCUUUUUUCCCUUUUUCUCUCUUCGCUGUAGUUGUGGUGCAGCUGCUGGAGAAGGCAGUGUGCAAGAAGAGAAAGAAAACGGGUAUUUAUCUAUCUACAUUUUUUUUUCAUAACCACGGGUGAUUUUUUUUUUCGCAUAAUGGUUUAAAAUGUCCUUAAUUUUUUUAAAAAUAAUUAAACUCUUAACACUUAAAUUAAUAAAAUUUAUCAAAUAAGCCCUUUACCUAAUAUUAACAGUUACAAUAUUAUAUGGACAUUAACAAAGCUUACACGAUACUCUAUAUCAACUAUAGUUGCUAACAUGACACUAUUACAUCAUCAAAAAUAUUAAAGGAAAUAUAUAAUUCUUUUUACUAAAAUGAACUUAAACAUACGAUUAAUCAGAUUCAUUCGUUUUAAAGCGUAAUUAAUUUUUAGUUAAAAUUUUUUUAAAAUAAUUUAUUUGAUUUUUUAUAACUUUAUAAAACAUUAUUAAAAUUUAUAAAUAAAAUCAAAUAAAAUUCAAUAAAUUUUAAAAAAAAUAAAAACCAUUUAAAAGUUAAGUCCAGAUUCAUUCAAGACGAUUUUUCUAAAUUAUAUAAAAUUUAAAUGAUAGUAAAAAUUAAUUUUCUUUAAAAUUUUGAUAUGUUUAUCAAUGUUUUAAUUCUAUUUUCUCUUUUAAGAUGUAUACAAAAUAAAUAAAAAAUAUUUUUAUAAAAUAAAUAUAAAUAACUUUAAAUUUAACUUUAUUAACUAUAGGUGUAAAGGGUUUUUUUUUAUUGUAUGAAUAUAUCCAAUUAAAAAGUGUACCAAUUAUUUUAUUACAUGUGUAGCUUAAAAGUAGAUAUGUUCAUGAGUCGAGUCAAGUUUAGUCUGGGCCAAUGUAACUAGACCAAUUUUCUAAGCAUGAACCCAACUAAAAAAAUGGGCUUAUUUUUUUCAAGCUAGACCCAAUUUAAAAAAGGUAAGCUCAGGUCCGGCUUAACCUGUCUAUACUUGAUUUUUUUAGAUUAUUUUUAUUUUAAUACAAUUUUAAAAAAUAAUAAUAAUAUACUAAAUGCACAAAAAAAAUACUAAAAUUAAAAUUUUCUAACACAUUAAAAAGUUUUUAUAUUAAAAACUCUACUAUAAAUAUAAUAAAUGUUUUCUUUGAUUAAAAAACACAAAUAAAUAUUUUAUUGUAUUAAGUAUAUUUUUUAAAAUUUUAUAUUUUUUGUUGGGUUAUUUAGCUGGGUAAUUUUUUUUAAGUUUUUGAAUAAUGGUUUAAUUGUUAGCCGAUUAGUGAUUUAAUAUAAAUAUAAAUAUAUAUAAUUAUUAUUUAACAUAUAUAAUUAAUAUAAUAUUUUUUAAAAUAAUAUAUUUAGGUCGGGCAAGUUGGGCUCGAGUAAAAAAUUCUUACCCAAUGUCUGGCCCAUAUAAAAAAUGAAACUUUCUCAUUUUUCGAAUGCACCUUCGGGCUUGGGUGAGUGGUCCGACUCAUGAGCACUACCUUAAAGGUGUAUCAAUUAUUUUGUAGCUUAAAAUAUUUAAAUAAUUAGAUAUAUUCAUACAUUUAUAAAUAAAAAAAACUUUACAUAUACAAUUAAUAAAAUUAAAAUUAUUUAUAGUUAUUUAUAGCCUACAAAUUUUCGCUUAAUUGACAAUGUGCUUUCUCUUUGAAGCUUGGAUAAGUUUUAUCAUUUUGUAAUCACAAUUUGCAUUAACAAUAUUGAAAUCAUUGGUUUUGUAAUACACCACUUGAGAGUUUAGUACGUUUUGAUAAAAUUAUAUUAAAUAGUUUUAGAUAAUUUGAAUGUUCUCUGUUUGACUGUGCUUGAUGGAUCUUGUUUUUAGUUUUAGCAUUAUUAUUAUAUUAUCUUGUCCUAAAAGUGAGGCAGCAUGUUCAUUUUCCUCCCCUUUUUCUUGGACAAACCAUUCUCCUUCCAUUUUAGUUUUGGUGGGAGUAGAAAUCCUUCUGUCACCAAAGCCAAAAGGUAGACUAGUCUGGUCGCAUGGCAUGGCAAAACAUAUACCAUCCAAAUCUAGUUAAAUCACAUUAUCUGUCAGAUAUAUAACUAAUCAAAUAUGGUAUCCAUAACAGUAAAGAAAUUUCAAAAAAUGGUUUUGGAUAUUACUAAAUUUAAAGAGGGCUCGUAUUUGAAGUUCUAUUCGCUGUGAAUCUGAUGAAAAUUUGAAGAUAGUAAUUAUAGCAUUGAGUUUGAAUAUGAUAUGCUAUUCACUGCCAUCCCUUCCACACAAAAACGGUGGAAUUAUCCCUUCCACACACAAUUGACUUGACAUAUUUUGAAGCAUUCAUCGAAACAAAACCAUGCUCAUCACCAUAAUUAAACAGGUUUAUACCCAAUGAAUUCAAAGCAAAAAAGGAUUCACAAGAUUCCAAAACCAGGCAUUAAAUAUAAUUCCCAUACAAGUUUGACCGCAAACUGACUAAUUUUUCAAAAAAAAAUCUCGUACAAUAAUAGCUAUUAACAUUAAUGUUCUCAAAACCCUUGAAUAUUAAAUAAUAAUAAGCACCACAAUACAGUCUCCAGCUCCAAACAUCCUCUUAAGCAAAAUGCUUAAAAGAUGGAAGGUAAGCAAGUAGGGAAUUAAGCACCAAUUGUCCGCCCACCGCCAGCCCCAUAGGGCCCGUCAUCUUAAUGGUGGCGAUACGGUGAAAGGCUAAAAUAAUAGUACAUCAAUAUCAAGUACACCAUCCUACAAUGAUCCCUAACUUCCCCGACAUAAACCAGACUUUUGAGUUCACUUGACACGGCACACCAAAAAAAGCCAACUAAAUGCAAAAUGUAGACCACCAUCAAAAGCAAUUACAAAACUUAGAAGCACUUCCUGUGGACAAUGGAUGGACCGGAUUCAUCAUACUCACCCUUGGAAAUCCACAUCUGCAAAGCAAGAACGUCAGUGUUGGACAACCAUAACACGAAAGAAGUAAAGCCAAAAAUACAAAAAUAUUUACCUGUUGGAAGGUGCUGAGUGAUGCCAAGAUAGAUCCUCCAAUCCAGACACUGUACUUUCUCUCUGGUGGCGCAACGACCUUAAUCUUCAUGCUGCUUGGAGCAAGAGCAGUGAUCUCCUUGCUCAUGCGGUCCGCAAUACCAGGGAACAUGGUUGAACCCCCACUGAGCACAAUGUUACCGUAGAGAUCCUUCCUGAUAUCCACAUCGCACUUCAUGAUAGAGUUGUAGGUAGUUUCAUGGAUUCCAGCAGCUUCCAUCCCGAUGAAAGAUGGCUGGAAGAGGACUUCCGGGCAACGGAAUCUCUCAGCUCCAAUAGUAAUGACUUGUCCGUCAGGCAACUCAUAGUUCUUCUCAACAGAUGAGCUGCUCUUGGCAGUCUCCAGUUCCUGCUCAUAGUCCAGGGCAACAUAAGCAAGCUUCUCUUUCAUGUCACGGACAAUUUCCCGUUCAGCAGUGGUGGUGAACAUGUAACCUCUCUCGGUAAGAAUCUUCAUCAAGGCAUCGGUUAGAUCACGACCUGCAAGGUCAAGACGGAGGAUGGCAUGUGGAAGGGCAUAUCCUUCAUAGAUUGGCACAGUGUGAGAAACACCAUCACCGGAAUCCAGCACAAUACCUGUUCCAAUAGAGAGAUAAUCCAGUGUUAGCAUGAUUCCAAAAUAUCAUUAAAAUGAGAAAAGCUCAUAGAACUUUCGAGUCUAACAAACCUGUUGUACGACCACUGGCAUACAAAGAGAGGACGGCCUGGAUGGCAACAUACAUAGCAGGUACGUUGAAGGUCUCAAACAUGAUCUGAGUCAUCUUUUCUCUAUUGGCCUUGGGGUUGAGAGGUGCUUCCGUGAGAAGCACAGGGUGCUCCUCAGGAGCAACACGGAGUUCAUUGUAGAAUGUAUGAUGCCAGAUCUUUUCCAUAUCAUCCCAGUUGCUCACAAUACCAUGCUCAAUAGGAUAUUUCAAAGUAAGGAUACCUCUUUUAGAUUGUGCUUCAUCUCCUACAUAGGCAUCCUUCUGACCCAUCCCAACCAUAACACCAGUGUGUCGGGGACGACCAACGAUACUGGGAAAAACUGCCCUUGGAGCAUCAUCACCAGCAAAACCGGCCUGCAUUACAGACAAAAUUAGCUUAACCAUAAGAUACUUUUUAGAAAGAAAUAAACAAUAACCAAGAUUAUAACUCAAGUUUAGAGGUGUUCAUAAACCAGGUCAAGUUUGUGUAUGAUAUCAUCAUAAUUCUUCUAUGCCAAAUCUCGGGUUGGUCCAAAAUAUUAUCUAAAUCCACCAAUAUUAUUUCUAUUUUUUAAAUAUUCUUCAUGUCUUUGUCCAUGUUUGGGGAUUGUAGCUAUCUCACCUAACAAUGCCAUCUCCAAUGUUCAAACAUGUGUCUUCCCUUGAGAGUGCAGCUUACCAUUGAUUAAAAAAUUUAAGCCUUACUAUAUAUAAAUAUUGGCCCAACUUAACAACUUUUCUCACACUGGCCCCUAAACUUUUUUUUGGAUCAUAUUGGUACUUAAGGUUGGCAUCUGUUACUCAGAUUGGUCCUUACACUAACACCGUUUGUUCUUUUAAGAAUUUGUUGAUGUGGUUAAAGCAUGGGGCUGACACAUGGAUUCAUCUUUAACCAUUCCUAAAUUUUUUUUUAAAAAAAUUAAAAUUUGUUAAAAAAAUAUAAGAAAUAUACAAAUUAUAAAACUUCAAAUAUAUAUAUAUUGAAAAUAAAAAUAAAAAUAAAAAGAAUAUGUAAAUUGAAAAUAAAAAUAAAAAUAAAAAGAAUAUGUAAAUUGAAAAUAAAAAUAAAAAAGAAUAUGUAAAAAAUUGAAUAUAAAAAUAACAAAUUUAGUUAAAUUUAAAAAAAAACUAAAUAUGUUUAAAAAUAAAUAAAUUUGGUUAAAUUUUUACAAAAUUACAAGAAAUUGUAAAAUUAAAAAAUUUUAAACAUUAAAGAAACAAAAAUUGACCGGUUGACAUUGGUCAACUCCCUGUCAACAUUAGUCAAUGCUGGUCAAGCCCAAUUAACUUCAGUCAACGCACGAUCAAUUUUUCUUUUUUUUUCUUUUUUUGUAAAUUUUAAAAAAUAUUUUUAUUUUUUACUUUUUUUUAAGUUGAAUAUUUAAAGAGUAAGCUUUUAAAUGUUAAAUUUUAACUUAACUUUUUAUUUUCAUUUUUUUAUGUUCAAUUUUUUGAAUUUUUAUAAUUUAUAAUAUCUCUUUAAAAAAUUAAAAAUUUUUCUGAAUCUUUUCAAAAUUUUUAAGGUUUUUUUUUUUUUUUUUUAAGAAUGAUUAAAGAUGAAUCCAUGUGUCACCCUCAUACUUUUCCACAUCAACAAAUUCUUUUGCUUUUCCCAUCAACAAAUUCUUUAAAAAUAAAGAGGGUUAGUGUAAGGACCAAUCUGUGUGACAGAUGCCAACAUUAGGGGCCUAUAUGAUAAAAGCAAAAGUCUAAAGGCCAAUGUGAAAAAAGUUGCCAAAUUCAAGGGUCACUCUACAUAUUAAGCUUUAAAAAAACUAAUGGUGUUAACUAUAUGGACCAAUUUGUGUAAUGGAUGCCAACUUUAGGGACCAAUGUGAUUCAAAAAUAUGUUUAGGGGCAAAUUUGAGGAAAGUUGCUGCUAAGUUUAGGGGUCAAUCUAUAUAGUAAGCCAAAAAUUAAUAUUUAAAUUAUAAUAUUAUGUAUUUAUUUCAUAUAUAAAUUAUAUAAUAUAUAAAAUAAAAUAAAUUUAAUAUUUAUAAAAUUAGAAAAUAAGCUGCGCUAUUCAAGCUUUGAACGUAGAAGCCCGAGCUACGCCCACUUAAAAGUGAUUUUUUUCUUUUAUGUCUUAGCCUAAAGGCUAGGAGUCAGGUUUGCUUUGAUCUAAAAUUAACUAACCUUUAUCACCAAAAAAAAUAAAUUUAACUAACCUUCACCAUUCCAGUUCCAUUAUCACAGACGAGGGGUUGAAUAUCCUCACCGUCGGCCAUCUUUUACAAUACUGCAAACAAGAAUCGAGGUAAUGAGUAUGACAAAAUCACCUGCCAACUCGGAUUCUGUGCCCUUCAACUAAUCUAGACAAGUUAAAUUAAAGACAUUUGACAAAUCAAUUUCUAGUUUCUCUAAAUGGGAAAAAAAUAAAGUAAAAACAGAAACACUUAGUCAACAUUAAUUUCUUCAAAUACAUAAAAUCGAAUAGUCCAAUAUCCUAGCUGCCUAUGAAACAGCGGAAACAACUAUAGUAGCUAAAAUCGUAGGCAACAUUCAAUUGAAAGAAUUUAAUCAAGCUACCGUAUAAUUCGAUGAACAACAAAUGGAAUCAAUUAGAAAUAAUGAUCGAGAUUACAGCUUUUCUUCAAGAUAUAAAAAAACUUUGCAAAGUAUUGAAUCUACACAAUGAAAGCAUUAAUCAGGACAAGUUGGUCAAAGAUCAAGUUCACAAUAAAGAGAAAAAAUCAAUUCUCGUUAGAUCUAUAAAAAAAUGUAAUGAAGCGGAUCAAGCUAAGUACAGAUCCAGCUGCAAAAGGAGCAGAUCAAGUUAAAUCUAACACUCUAGAAACUUAUAGAACUGUAGAUCUCAGUUGCAUCAUAGCCAAAACAUCAAACUCAAGCAUCAAAUACACAGAUCGACAGAUUUUGAAGAAAAAUAAAAGCAAAGUAAAAGGUUUACCUUAGUGAACAAAAGAACGAAAGAGGAGCUUCUGAGAAAGAGAGAGAGGGAAGAAGAAGAAGAAGCAAAAACGACGACGCUUUUUUUCCCCUUUUUCAGUUUUUCUCUCUUCUCCGUGGUGCAGCUGCUGGAGGCGUAAAUGCAAUGUGUUAGAAGUGAAAGAUAACAGGUACUUAUGCAUCUGCCCUUUUUUUCCUCUUUUUUUUUGCAUAACCACGAGUGAAAUUAUUUUUAACGUCUUAAAAAUAAAUUGUUUUUUAUUUAUUUUAAAAGAAACUUUAUUUAAUAAAUAUAUUUGAGAUAUAUCAUAUUUGGUACCUAUAUUUUCAUAAAAUAUUCAAUGUGGUACCUUCACUUUUAAAAUGUCCAACGAAACACUUGAACUAUCAAUGUAUGUUUUGUUAUGAUUCUUAUACUUUCAUAAAAUGUCAAAUGUAGUAUAUAAUUUUUUUAUUAAUAAGAUGUUUAGUUAUUUGUUUUUUAUUUUAUUUUUAUUUUUGUUUUAUUUAAUUUUUCACAAUAAUGUUAUAGUAUUCACGUGGACUUGAUGAUUUGGAAAAGAAAAUUCUACAUGUCAAAUUUUAAUUGAUUGAUUUAGCAAUUCAAAAAUAAUGUUAACAUCAUGUACUAUAAUAGAACAUAUAUUGAUAAUUCAGGUACCAAAUUGGACAUUCUAAAAUACCGGUACCACAUUGAACAUUUCAUAAAAGUACAAGUAUCAUAAUAAAAUAUAUUUUGAUAGUUUAAGUAUCAAAUUAGACAUUUUCAAAGUACAUUUACCAUAUUAAACAUUUUUAUGAAAGGAAAUGCACCAAAUGUGAAAUUAUCCCACUGUAUUUUUAUUUAUAAUUAGGUCGAGGUUAUUUAAUUGCAAUAAUUUAGGUCGCUUUAAUAUUUUCCGAAUUCCUACUGAUUAAUUGAUAAAUUACACAUUAUUUAAAUUAUAUUUUUAGUUAUUCAACUUUGAUGACUUAUAUUAAGUCGAAUCCCUAAAAUUAAAAGAUAUGAUUAAAAAAUACAUACUAAACCAUUAUACGAAAAUUAUAUUGUGUAAGAUUUUUUUUAAAGUCCAAGAUUAUAGUAAUUUCUAUAAAAGGAUUUUACAAACCAUUAUAAAUUGAAGAACUGUCUCCGCUGUUUUUACACUAACUGCAGGUAAAUGCACUGCUCAUCCAAACUCACCCAACGUCAAAAAAUAGUAAAACAUUUAUUGCCUUCUACUUGGUAGAUGGAGUGGCCACAAGAAAGAAAUGAUAAUUUUCUUAAUUUAAUUUAAUCAUUUGUUCACAGUUUUUCUUUUAUUCAAUUUAAUCUUGAUUCUAAAUGUGAUCUGGUAAUGUAAUUUGAAUUUAGUUAAUAUUUUUAUGAACUCUAAUCAUUAAUGUUUUUGCAUGUAUUACAUAUGUAUAAUUCUUGUAAAAUUUUUAUUGAUGGUGUAUUUGGAUGCUUAUAACAUUUAAAAUAUUUGGGUUGACGAUGUGGAGUUAUUUUAUCAAGCAAAUAUUUUUUCAAAAAAUACUCAAGAAAUGAGAGAAAUAAAUAAAUAAAACAUUUAUACCAUUUGUUGAUGGCAUAUUCUCAUCAUAAGUCCCUCCGCCCAUAUCAAUCUAUAUAAUGGAUUCACUUGCAUUUUUAAUUUACAUUAUUAGUCCUUUGUAUUUUACAUAUGUCACAAAUUAAUCUUAUUAAUUAUUACUAUUUUUAAAAGAAUGCUUAAGGGUGUAAAAGGCUCUUGAAUUUUAAAAAGAAGUUCAAGUAAGUUUUUUUUUUUGCACUCAAUUGGGUACCUAAACUGUCAAAAUGCAUAAAAAAAUGCCCUUUUAACGGUCAAAGGGCUUUUUUGAUACAUUUUGGUAGUUUAGGUACCUAAUUGAGUCAAAGAGUAUUUUUGAUGCAUUUUGGUAGUUCGGAUACCUAAUUAAGUGCAAAAAAAAAAUGAUUUUAAUUUCUUUUAAAGUUUGAGGUUUUUUAUACUCUUGAAGCCUUAAAGAAAUGAAUUUCAUCUAAUUUUUACAAUUAUUUUAAAACUAAUACAAAAUGUUAGAGUAUUUGAAGUAAAAGUGUAUAGAAAUAAAUAAUGAAAUUUAAAUAUAUUAAAAAUGUAUUCAACAUUAAUAUUAAAAAGUUUUUUAAAAUCUUAAUAUUUUAAAAUUUAACUAUUUAAGGGAGAAUAUUUGAUGAAUCAUAAUCAGUGCAUAGGUUUCAUGCAUUAUCAAUUAAUAAUAAGAUGACACAUUGUCACUCAUGUAAAACAAAAAAAUAUUGAAGGGUUUAAAAAUAAAUAUAAAUAUUUUUUUUUUAAAAAUAAAUAUUAAUUAUCAUUUUUAAACAUAAAAAUACAAAACUUGAAAUUAAAAACCUCAAAACCGAAAUUUGAAACCAAAAACCUAAACCUAAAAUUUAAAACUUGAAAGAAAAAUAACAAAUGUAAUUAAUAUUUAAUUAUGUUUAAUAAGUUAAUAUUAUUUAUUUUCAAGUACUUCAAUAUUUUUUUUACACUGUAUCAUUUUAUUAUUAAUUAAUAGUGCUUGUGAAAACCCUCGAUUAUCACAGUAAUUAAGAUAUUAUUAAAGUUUUUCGUUCAAUUUCGUAGUGUUCUCACUUUAUUUCUCAUUUAAAUGCAAUUCAAAAAUACCCAAAACACUAAAUUUUAUCUGCCAUAUCUAAAGAAGAAAUAUUUAAUUGAAAAACCAAAAAAAAAAAAAACCCGGGUAAGACCAAAGUUUAACAAUAUCAUGUUAUUAAAAUAAUAUAAUCAUCAAAGCUGAUAUUAAAUUAGUACAAUAAUGAGAAUUCACAAGGCAAAUGACAUUGUAAUUCAUGAAUAAUCUGAUGAAUUGAUUUUUUUUUCUUUUAAUUAAUAGUUCCUAUUCUCAGCCAGCAUACGUACACCAUUACACAACAGACUCCGAUAGCCAUUUAGCCAUAUAAUUACCAAUCGUGUUAUAGACCCUCGGCACCUUUUCAAGUUCGACCGCCCAGCGCCGUUGUAGCAGCACCGUAAUCCUCCGAACCAGUGAGAGCAAUCAUGCCUGCCAUCAGUUGCAGCGCUUCACUGCUGUUGCUCUCGACUAUAAUCUGUCCAUAAACUUUAUCCAAACCAGCAAGAACCACCCACAACUCCGAGUGGAGAACCGCCGCUAUGCCAAGCUGCCUAGUAAACACAACAAUCCAGCUUAAAUGGCAAUUGAUUGUAUCUUGAAGUAAAUAGUUUAUUACGUCUUGUUUCUUUUCGUUUGUAAUGAGAUUAUUAAGAUUUUGUUUUCAUUGAAAAUUUUAUGAUAUUUUGUUAUUUUUCAUGUUAGAUUCUAGUUGAGAAUGUGCUUUCUCUUUGGAGCUUGGAUAAAUUUCAACAUUUUUGUGGUCAGAAAUUGCAUUAAUAAGAUUGAAGUUAUUAGUUUGUUGAAUCUCGUUUUUCUUUUCAUUUAUAAUGAAAUUAGUAGGAUUCUAUUUUCAUUGAAAAUUAUAUGAUAUUUGAUUUUUUUUUUUCGAUGUUAGAUUCUAAUUGACAAUACACUUUCUUUUUAGAUCUUCACAUGUUUUAACAUUUUUGCAGUUACAAUUUGCCUUAACAAGAUUAAAUAAUUACUUUUGCAGUAUGUCGCUUCAGAGUUCAUUGCAUUUUGAUAAAUGGAUAUAUUUUGUAUAAUUUUUUUUUAAAAAUAGGAUUAUAUUAACUUUUUUUAGAAUUAAUAUUAAAUUGGGACUAAAUUUAAUAGUGUCAGAAAAUUUAAUGCGGAUUCGUAUUUGAGGUUCCAUUCGUUGUGAAUCUGAUGAAGAUAGUAAUUAUAGCACUGAAUUUGAAAAUGAGAUUUGAUUCAGAGCUAUCCAUUCCACACAAAAAUGGUGAAAUUAUAAAGGGAGCUCGCAUAAUCCUUCACACACAAUUGACUUGACAAAUUUUGAAGCAUGCAUCGAAACAAAACCAUGUUCACCAUCACCACAAUUAAACAGGUUUAUACCCGAUGAAUUCAAAGCAUAAAAGGAUUCACAAUAUUCCAAAACCAGAUAUUAAAUAUAAUUUCCGUAGAAGUUUGACCGCAAACUGACUCUAAUUUUUCAAAAAAAAUCUCGUACAAUAAUAGCUAUGAACAUUAAUGUUCUCAAAACCCUUGAAUAUUAAAUAAUAAAAUAAAAUAAAAAAGCACCACAAUCCAGUCUCCAGCUCCAAACAUCCUUUUAAGCAACAUGGUUCAAAGAUGGAUUAUAAGGAAGGAAUUAAGCACCAAUUGUCCGCCCACCGCCAUCUCCAUAGGACCCAUCAUCUUAAUGGUGGUGAUACGGUGAAAGGCUAAAAUAAUAAUACGUCAAUAUCAAGUACACCAUCCUACAAUGAUCCCUAACUCUCCCCACAUAAACCAGACUUUGGACUUCACUUAACAUCGCACACAAAAAAAGCCAACUAAAUGCAAAAUGUAGAUCACCAUCAAAAGCAAUUACAAAACUUAGAAGCACUUCCUGUGGACAAUGGAUGGACCGGAUUCAUCAUACUCACCCUUGGAAAUCCAC